GGAAGCUGAGGAUCAGAAACAAUCAAGAGCUCCAGGAACACAGAAAAUGGAGCCUGAGGGAACCAAGGCUUCUUAGAAAGGAAGGCAGAUCUACAGGCCCC
Molecule: long non-coding RNA, 101 nt
Organism: Lemur catta (Ring-tailed lemur)
Lineage: Eukaryota; Metazoa; Chordata; Mammalia; Primates; Lemuridae
Exons: 3
Source: RefSeq, a predicted model, not a curated record